GGGGGCCUUAUUAAUGCCAGUCGAGCGGACAGAAGGGAGCUUGCUCCCGGAUGUUAGCGGCGGACGGGUGACGAACACAUGGGUAACCUGCCUGUAAGACUGGGAUAACUCCGGGAAACCGGAGCUAAUACCGGAUAGUUCCUUGAACCGCAUGUUUCAAGGAUGAAAGACGGUUUCGGCUGUCACUUACAGAUGGACCCGCGGCGCAUUAGCUAGUUGGUGGGGUAAUGGCUCACCAAGGCGACGAUGCGUAGCCGACCUGAGAGGGUGAUCGGCCACACUGGGACUGAGACACGGCCCAGACUCCUACGGGAGGCAGCAGUAGGGAAUCUUCCGCAAUGGACGAAAGUCUGACGGAGCAACGCCGCGUGAGUGAUGAAGGUUUUCGGAUCGUAAAGCUCUGUUGUUAGGGAAGAACAAGUGCGAGAGUAACUGCUCGCACCUUGACGGUACCUAACCAGAAAGCCACGGCUAACUACGUGCCAGCAGCCGCGGUAAUACGUAGGUGGCAAGCGUUGUCCGGAAUUAUUGGGCGUAAAGGGCUCGCAGGCGGUUUCUUAAGUCUGAUGUGAAAGCCCCCGGCUCAACCGGGGAGGGUCAUUGGAAACUGGGAAACUUGAGUGCAGAAGAGGAGAGUGGAAUUCCACGUGUAGCGGUGAAAUGCGUAGAGAUGUGGAGGAACACCAGUGGCGAAGGCGACUCUCUGGUCUGUAACUGACGCUGAGGAGCGAAAGCGUGGGGAGCGAACAGGAUUAGAUACCCUGGUAGUCCACGCCGUAAACGAUGAGUGCUAAGUGUUAGGGGGUUUCCGCCCCUUAGUGCUGCAGCUAACGCWUUAAGCACUCCGCCUGGGGAKUACGGUCGCAAGACUGAAACUCAAAGGAAUUUGACGGGGGGCCCCGCACAAGCGGUGGAGCAUGUGGUUUUAAUUCGAAGCAACGCGAAGAACCCUUUACCAGGUCUUGACAUCCUCUGACAACCCUAGAGAUAGGGCUUUCCCUUCGGGGAMCAGAGUGACAGGUGGUGCAUGGGUUUGUCGUCAGCUCGUGGUCGUGAGAUGAUUGGGUUAAGCUCCCGCAACGAGCCGCAAACCCUUGAAUCUUAGUUGGCCAGCCAUUUCAGCUUGGGCCACUCUCAAAGGUGACUGCCGGUGACAAACCGGAGGAAGGUGGGGAUGACGUCAAAUCAUCAUGCCCCUUAUGACCUGGGCUACACACGUGCUACAAUGGACAGAACAAAGGGCUGCAAGACCGCAAGGUUUAGCCAAUCCCAUAAAUCUGUUCUCAGUUCGGAUCGCAGUCUGCAACUCGACUGCGUGAAGCUGGAAUCGCUAGUAAUCGCGGAUCAGCAGGCCGCGGUGAAUACGUUCCCGGGCCUUGUACACACCUUUUCGUCACACCACGAGAGUUUGCAACACCCGAAGUCGGUGAGGUAACCUUUUAUGGAGCCAAGCCCCC
Molecule: ribosomal RNA, 1457 nt
Filed under: Bacillus altitudinis
Lineage: Bacteria; Bacillati; Bacillota; Bacilli; Caryophanales; Bacillaceae
Description: bacterial SSU rRNA
Rfam family: Bacterial small subunit ribosomal RNA
Source: RNAcentral